This 509-nucleotide ribosomal RNA is filed under the name uncultured bacterium. RNAcentral's name for it is "bacterial SSU rRNA". It matches the Rfam family "Bacterial small subunit ribosomal RNA", at positions 984 to 1500 of the family's 1533-position model. The record is from RNAcentral.
ACAUGAUACGAACUUUUGUGAAAGCAGAAGGUGCCGUUUGGAACGUAUACACAGUUGGUGCAUGGCUGUCGUCAGCUCGUGUCGUGAGAUGUUGGGUUAAGUCCCGCAACGAGCGCAACCCUUGUUUUUAGUUGCCUUUAUGGAACUCUAAAAAGACUGCCGGUUAUAAACCGGAGGAAGGCGGGGCGGACGUCAAGUCAGCAUGCCCCUUACACCCUGGGCUACACACGUGCUACAUUGGGCGAGACAAUGAGAUGCUAGUCUGCGAAGAUAAGCUAAUCUAUAAACUCGCUCUAAGUUCGGAUUGCAGGCUGCAACUCGCCUGCAUGAAGGUGGAAUCGCUAGUAAUCGCUGGUCAGCUAUACAGCGGUGAAUUCGUUCCCGGGCCUUGUACACACCGCCCGUCACACCAUGGAAGCUGGUUAUACCCGAAGUCGUUACUUUAACCUUUUUGGAUGAGGAUGCCUAAGGUAGAAUUGGUGACUGGGGUGAAGUCGUAACAAGGUAAC